GCCCUGGUGGUGGAAUUGGUAGACACGCAGGACUUAAAAUCCUGUGGCCAUUUAGGUCGUACGGGUUCAAGUCCCGUCUGGGGCA
This 85-nucleotide transfer RNA is filed under the name Flavobacteriaceae bacterium. Its description in RNAcentral is "tRNA-Leu". It matches the Rfam family "tRNA". Rfam says of the family: Transfer RNA (tRNA) molecules are approximately 80 nucleotides in length. The record is from RNAcentral. Lineage: Bacteria; Pseudomonadati; Bacteroidota; Flavobacteriia; Flavobacteriales; Flavobacteriaceae.